RNAcentral lists this long non-coding RNA (1530 nucleotides) under Coturnix japonica (Japanese quail). RNAcentral describes it as "lncRNA (ENSCJPG00005002621.1)". Lineage: Eukaryota; Metazoa; Chordata; Aves; Galliformes; Phasianidae. The record is from RNAcentral.
CGGCCACUCAGAGCGUUUCCCGGCGGUGUCCAGCAGGGGGCGCCAUCCCCCCGUUAAAACUCAUUGCGGCCAAUGGGGAACGGCUGGAACCCGGCAGCGACCGGCUCAGAGUCACCGACAGCCAAGAGUGUGGGGUGAGACCCUAUAGGGGACCCUAUAAGGAACCCUAUAAGGGACCCUAUAACAACAGACCCUAUAAGGGACCCUAUAACAUACCCUAUAACAACAGACCCCAUAACAGACCCCAUAACCGGCCCUAUAAGGCCCUAUAGGGGACCCCACAGCCAGCAGUGUGGGGUGAGACCCUAUAGGGGACCCUAUAACCGGCCCUAUAGGGGACCCUAUAUAACAACAGACCCCAUAACAGACCCCAUAACCGGCCCUAUAAGGGACCCCAGAACCGGCCCUAUAAGGGACCCUAUAACAGACCCUAUAAGGGACCCUAUAAGGAACCCUAUAAGGAACCCUAUAAGGGACCCUAUAACAUACCCUAUAAGGGACCCCAUAACCGGCCCUAUAGGGGACCCUAUAACAGACCCUAUAGGGGACCCUAUAACAGACCCUAUAACCGGCCCUAUAGGGGACCCUAUAACAGACCCUAUAACAACAGACCCCAUAACAGACCCUAUAACAGACCCUAUAAGGGACCCUAUAAGGGACCCUAUAACUGGCCCUAUAACAGACCCUAUAAGGGACCCUAUAAGGGACCCUAUAAGGAACCCUAUAAGGGACCCUAUAACAGACCCUAUAAGGGACCCUAUAAGGGACCCUAUAAGGGACCCUAUAACAUACCCCAUAACCAGCCCUAUAAGGGACCCUAUAACAGACCCUAUAAGGGACCCUAUAAGGGACCCUAUAAGGGACCCUAUAACCGGACCUAUAAGGGAUCCCAUAACAGACCCUAUAACAGACCCUAUAAGGGACCCUAUAAGGGACCCUAUAACCAGCUCUAUAAGGGACCCUAUAGGGGACCCUAUAACAGACCCUAUAACAGGACCCAUAACCGGCCCUAUAAAGGACCCCACAGCCAGCAGUGUGGGGUGAGACCCUAUAGGGGACCCUAUAAGGGACCCUAUAACAACAGACCCCAUAACCGGCCCUAUAAGGGACCCUAUAAGGAGUCCUAUAAGGGACCCCAUAACAGACCCUAUAAGGAACCCCAUAACUGGCCCUAUAAGGGACCCUAUAACAGACCCUAUAACAGACCCUAUAAGGGACCCUAUAACAGACCCUAUAAGGAACCCUAUAACAGACCCUAUAAGGGACCCUAUAUAACUACAGACCCCAUAACAGACCCCAUAACCGGCCCUAUAAGGGACCCUAUAAGGGACCCUAUAACAGACCCUAUAAGGGACCCUAUAAGGGACCCUAUAACAGACCCCAUAACCGGCCCUAUAGGGGAUCCCAUAACCGGCCCUAUAAGGGAUCCCAUAACCAACCCUAUAACAGACCCUAUAAGGAACCCUAUAAGGAACCCUAUAAGGGACCCUAUAAGGAACCCUAUAACAGACCCUAUAAGGGACCCUAUAA